GUCCACGCCGUAAACGAUGAGUGCUAGGUGCUAUGGGUAUUGACCCCCGUGGUGCCGCAGCUAACGCGUUAAGCACUCCGCCUGGGGAGGUACGGCCGCAAGGCUAAACUCAAAGGAAUUGACGGGGGCCCGCACAAGCGGUGGAGCAUGUGGUUCAAUUCGACGCAACGCGCAGAACCUUACCUGGGUUAAAUCCACUAGAACUUGCCAGAGAUGGCUUGGUGCCCUUCGGGGAGCUAGUGAGACGGUGCUGCAUGGCUGUCGU
This 265-nucleotide ribosomal RNA is filed under the name uncultured bacterium. RNAcentral describes it as "partial 16S ribosomal RNA". It matches the Rfam family "Bacterial small subunit ribosomal RNA", at positions 793 to 1055 of the family's 1533-position model. The record is from RNAcentral.